CUCACUAUCUCAGAAUUAAAAAACCAGAUUUAAUUUGGAGUACAAUUAUGAAGAUUACAUAAAUUUGGUAGUGAAGAUAAUGUGCAGUUUGAUGUUAGAUCAAAACCUCAUAAGAGACAAGUCACUUUCUUUCCUAUCAACACUCUAAAUCAUAUUCACUUCACAGGCACCGGAAACAAUAUUGCAUCAUUUUCUUACACACUGUCCCCAGACCCACUGGGAGCUGCCUUUGAUCCUUGAAGGUGCUGCUGAUUUUCUGGUGGGGGAGGGAGUCCAUUGGAAGCCCGCGGUUGAACCUUUCGCGGCUUUGUUCUAAACCCCAGCAGCCUCAGUGCAACUCUACAUACAACAGACCAGACCGAUCAAAAAGCUGAAGAAGAGCACUCAUGAUCAUGUGAAAGGCUUGUGUAUUCUGGACUAUGAGAAUUGAUAUGCGGCCAAAACAGUUCACCACACCCUGCAUCUGUCAUCGAGAAAAUGGCAAAUGGUUAAUGAGCAAAAAGAAAUUUAAUAAAUACAACAUAUCUUGAUUGAAAUUAUAAUGAAUGCAGUUAUCGAUCGAUCUUCCCAUACUCAAUGGCAAGAAUCAACUAGCAAACACUUAUCUGAGCCAUCAAUAGUUGAUAUUGACAUGCCAUUGCCUUCCUAAGCGAUAAUGACAUGAUUGUGAUGUAAAGUUUUAAAUGAGUUGAUGCAGCCAAGAAAAAUGCAGCUAAGAAUCUUUAGCAGCCUUCAUUUUUUUUGUCAGGAACACAGGUUUCAGCAAAGCAAGGUAAGGCUGUGUACAUCAACCCUCCCCAGAGCCCACAAGUGUGCGAUACUUCGUGCACUGGGUCACCCUUUUUAUGAUGUCUUAUAAUAUAUACGGUCAUGCAUUCUGAACCAUGAAUCUUAUUUUGUUGAUUUUUCACAUAGAGACAAGUAAUUAACAAAUAGCAAUAUGCAUUGAAUUUCUAACAUUCAUUUUCAAGUAUUUUCUUC
RNAcentral lists this unclassified non-coding RNA (981 nucleotides) under Hevea brasiliensis (rubber tree). The record is from RNAcentral. Lineage: Eukaryota; Viridiplantae; Streptophyta; Magnoliopsida; Malpighiales; Euphorbiaceae.